This 111-nucleotide ribosomal RNA is filed under the name Jaculus jaculus (lesser Egyptian jerboa). Lineage: Eukaryota; Metazoa; Chordata; Mammalia; Rodentia; Dipodidae. The record is from RNAcentral.
GACCCUACCUCGAACAACAACAACAGAAAAGCAAACUCAGAAGCUAAGCAGAAUUGGGCCUGGUUACUAUUUGGAUGGGAGACUGCCUGAGAGUACUGGGUGCUGGGGGCU